GCCUUUUCCCGCAAAAGCUGCGGAGGGAGGGCGCGGUGCGGCGGAAGACAAAGGAGCGGAGAGGCACUCACCCGCCGAGCCGGAGGAAGACACUCUCCUGCGAGGCUCCGGCUGGGGCGGCGCGGGCCGCUCGGUGCCGGGGGACGGCGUGCUGGCGGCGGACGAGGAGGAGGAGGAGGCGGCGGGCUGUGGCAGGCACCAGGCGGGCUGCAGCGGCUCGGGCGCGGGCUCGGGCGCGGCGGGGCGGGGCGGCUCGGCAGGGCUGCUGCGAUCCUGCGGCGGCGAGGGCCGCUCCUGCGUGGCCACGAUGGGCUUCCUCUCCAUCACCUCCAGCUGCUCGUCGAAGUCCUCGUCUUCCUCUUCUUCUUCCUCCUCCUCGUCUUCCUCCUUCUCGUCGUCCAGCACGAACUGGUAGUUAAACUGAGGCUGCUGCGGCCGCGGGGGCCCGGAGGAGGAGAUCAGGGGCGACUGGUCUAGCUCGUCCAUGGUGCCUGGAGCGGGCGGAACAAUGAGCGCGGCGCCGGGGCUGCGCCUCUGCCGGCUGAGGGGGGAGGACGCGGGCUGCGCUGCGGGACCGGUUCCACGCCCUGGCACUUCCUGUUCUGGACUUGUUU
Molecule: long non-coding RNA, 614 nt
Filed under: Gallus gallus (chicken)
Lineage: Eukaryota; Metazoa; Chordata; Aves; Galliformes; Phasianidae
Description: long non-coding RNA NONGGAT005722
Source: RNAcentral